AUGUUUGAGAUUUUCUGUCUAAUUUUUUUUUUGUUUGUUUUUGUUUUGGUUUUUCUCCGGUACCGGGAACCGAACUCACGGCCUUGCGCAUGCCAGGCAGGCGCUUUUGCCGCUGAGCUAAAUUCCCAGCCCCGAGAUUUUCUGUCUAAAAAAAAGAAAGACCUGGUAGAAGAUCAUAACCCAGGGGGCGUCAGAGAAAGCAGAGGAAGCAAUUGCUGUGGAAGCAGUAGCCACAACAUCUCCAUAAGGCAAAAGAGAGAGAUGAUAUCAUUAACUCUGAUGUUCCAGCAGGGCUUGCACCUCGUUUCCUCUCCAGCCCUCCUUAAUGCUGUAGAUGGUACACAAAAGGUUAUACUCAGCACAUGGUUGUUGACUUAAUGACUUACAGAAGGAAAGGUAGGUAUUCUCUUUUGAGGAGGAGGUUUCUGGGGAAGAGAAUGGAGCAGCAUUACAUAAUGAUGCAAAUAGAAAGCAUAUUAUGAUGUUAUCUUUUCCAGCCUUGUUCUGUGAAACAUCUCAAAGAAGAGAAAAACCUCAUGAAAGGAAAGGAUAUUUUGGAGACCUUGGAAGGACUCAACAUAAGGAGAGAGGGAUGGAAGUAUAUAUGUGGUGUGAUAUUUCCAAAGGCUCCUCCUUUCAGGCAUCUGUGGCUGACUCAACUGUUAAAUGUUUAGAUCCAGAGACUCUUAUAUUCUUUUUACUUUGUAAAGGGCUCUUCAUGGUAGAGGAGUAUUAAUUAGAGAGGAAAGUGAGUGCCAGCAUAGUAGGAAAAAUAGAAUACUCGCAGCCCAGAGAGCAUGGCUUCUGCUCUAGCCCCAGUGGGGGCAAGAAUCUUUGAAAGACUGGGAUGAUAUUAAGCAAAUACGUGCAUGAUUGUGCACGUGUAUAACCAAUAUUUAGUUUAAUGACAAGAUAACUCAAUCUGGGAUUUGCCACUCAUCAAGCUUUAAGGCAAUUCUUUUAUUCAACUCCUCCCUACUCUUCAAACUUAGCAAUAAAAAAACAAACAACAAAAAGUACAGGAGAGCUGAGCUUUACACAGACUACAGCUUUACCAAGUUCUGAACUCAGAAAAUGCCUGGGAGGUAUUAGAAAGGGCAGUUAAUUGGUUGGCUCCUGAAUGUGUUAAUCCUGAGCAAAGCUGUGUUAGUACCUCAUUAGCACAUUAAUUCCACAGGCUAUUCUCUGCAGACCUGUAUCACUUAAUAUCCGGAGCAUUUCUUGAGUUGUUUUACAAAAUCAAGUUGUAUUGACUAGAAUUUCAGACUAAGAUUCUUGGCUCAAAAACUCUUGUUCAGGAACAUUUUCAAUUAAGAAAAGAUAAGAUUGUAAAUUUGUGUCUCAAAUACUGAGCAUGGUUCCUCCCUGCUCAAAAAACCUACAAUUGGUCUGGGCAUAGGCACGGUUCCUUGCCUGUCCUGUAAGCACACAGCAGCAUUCCUGCUCCACCAGCUGCACUGGAAAUGGCCUCUGAGACCAGUAGAGGAUGUGAUGUCCCCAUACACACCAAUAACCAGUAUCUUAGAAGAGAAAGGGGAGACUCACUGUUAAGGUACCAUCUUUACCUCAAAGUUAUGUGCCAGUUCUUCAAGUUGGAGCUAGUCCUCAUGGAGUGUGUGUGUGUGUGUGUGUGUGUGUGUGUGUGUGUGUUGCAGAGGACCAAACCUCGGGCCUUGGACAUGCUAGUCUAGCACUGUACCACUGAGUCACAUCCCCAACUCACCUCAUAGAUUUUUCAUGCACUUUAUUUUUUGCAUAUAUUUCCCACAGUGUUCUGUAUGCAUGUUUUGCUUCCUCGCUAGGCCAUAGAAAUGGUUCAAGGUGGGAGCCUAUUUUUGACCCCUACCUUCCCUGUAGAAUAACCUACCAUCUUAUAUCUAAUAAGCAUGUCAUGAAUAUUUGUUUUGAACAUUUGAGAGAUGGCAGGAAAUAAUGGAAAGAACACUAAGAAUCAGAUUCUCAUGUGGGGUUCUGCUACUAGCCAGGGAUGUUACCCUGUGCAAGUCAUGAUACUACAUGAUCCUUGGGUUCCUAAUCUGUGGAAUGAGGAGGCUCAUCUAAGGUCACUCCCAGUCCAACACACUAAAAAGGGGGGAAUGAAAACUAUUUUGAGUAGCCCAACUUUAUUUGCAAAAUUAAUCGCACUGGAUAUUAUUUAAAAAAAGGAGUUGAAAUAUUUCCUACAUCUUUUUGAUGUUUAUUAUAAUCUCUGUAGUUCAGGUUCUAAACCAAGAAAAUAAAAGUGCCAUCACAACAUUUUAGUUAAUUAACUUAAAAAUUACUUGAUUUCAUCCAGUGAAGACUCAUUGAUUGCCAUGUUUCACGUACUGUUCCAGUCCCUGGAAAUACCAAGAGAAGUAUGAUCCCAUCCACUGGCAUCUACAUGAAGGUCAUCUCAUAAAGGUGACAGACAAGUGAGAAUAUAACAGAAAUGCUAUGUGUAUAGAUGAAGGUGAGCAAAAGUAACUCUUCUGUGAGACAGGCCAGGGGGCAAGGGGAGAGCUGAAAGCCAAAGCUCAUGGUAUCAGACGCAGAGGCUUGAGCUAUUUUUAAUUCUAGCUGCAGAAGAUGAUAAUUUACAGAAAGAUGGGAGUGGUAAGAAGAGGUCAAGUCACCACCCAACUCUUAAUGAAGUAGCCUUUGGCCCCCAAAUGUGCUCAGGGGAUCAUAUCUGUCUGUACUGUUCACUAAGGCUCACUAGCACUGAGGACAGCAGCUGACAUAGAGAAGUCCUCAAUUAUAUGUGUAAUACAAAUAUAUAAUACACAGCCCUGUUUCUUUUUCUUCUUUUUUUGGAAACAGGGUCUCACUGUGUAGCUUAGGUUGGCCUCAAACUCAUGGCAAUCCUCCUGCCUCAGCCUCCCAAGUGCUGGGAAUACAGGUGUGUGCUACCAUGCUUGGCCCUGUUUCUUAUUCGGAACUGCCUUUUUGACUAGUUCAGAGUGCUUAGAAGCCAAGGAGAGACAGGGGCAUCAGAAGCCAAGGAGAGACAUUUCCACAAAGGACUAUUCAGUGAUAUCAUUCACGGCAUCUAUUGCCUGAGGACUGAGUGAAAUCAGACUGAGCAAUAGAUUGGGCAGGCAGGAGUCUUCCCGGUAACCUCCCAGGAAUAGUAGUCCACUGCAGAGCAGUGAGGAUUGAUAAGGAAGUGAGGAAGUAGAGAGAGCAAGCAGAGAGCUUGCUUUUAGGAACCACCACUGUGAAGAUGGUUUUUUUUUUUUUUUUUUUUUUUGGUUUUUCUCCG
This is a long non-coding RNA of Chinchilla lanigera (long-tailed chinchilla), 3244 nucleotides long. Lineage: Eukaryota; Metazoa; Chordata; Mammalia; Rodentia; Chinchillidae. The record is from Ensembl.